ACGGUCGUGGUGUAACGGCAGCACACAAGGCUUUGAACCUUGGGGCGGUGGCUCGACACCACCCGACUGUGCCA
RNAcentral lists this transfer RNA (74 nucleotides) under Clostridia bacterium. RNAcentral's name for it is "tRNA-Gln". It matches the Rfam family "tRNA". From Rfam's summary of the family: Transfer RNA (tRNA) molecules are approximately 80 nucleotides in length. The record is from RNAcentral. Lineage: Bacteria; Bacillati; Bacillota; Clostridia.